CUGCUCGCUUUGGCAGCACAUAUACUAAAAUCGGAACGACACAGAAAAGAUUAGCAUGGCCCCGUGCAAGGAUGAAACACAAAUUUGUGAAGUGAUCCAUAUUUUU
This is a small nuclear RNA of Jaculus jaculus (lesser Egyptian jerboa), 106 nucleotides long. The record is from RefSeq and is a predicted model, not a curated record. Lineage: Eukaryota; Metazoa; Chordata; Mammalia; Rodentia; Dipodidae.